AGUGAACGCUGGCGGCAGGCCUAAUACAUGCAAGUCGAACGGCAGCACAGCAGAGCUUGCUCUGUGGGUGGCGAGUGGCGGACGGGUGAGGAAUACGUGGGAAUCUGCCCAGUCGUGGGGGAUAACGUAGGGAAACUUACGCUAAUACCGCAUGCGCCCUUCGGGGAAAGCCGGGGGACCCUUCGGGGCCUGGCGCGAUUGGAUGAGCCCACGUCGGAUUAGCUAGUUGGCGGGUAAAGGCCCACCAAGGCGACGAUCCGUAGCUGGUCUGAGAGGAUGAUCAGCCACACUGGAACUGAGACACGGUCCAGACUCCUACGGGAGGCAGCAGUAGGGAAUAUUGGACAAUGGGCGCAAGCCUGAUCCAGCCAUGCCGCGUGAGUGAAGAAGGCCCUCGGGUUGUAAA
RNAcentral lists this ribosomal RNA (406 nucleotides) under uncultured bacterium. RNAcentral describes it as "bacterial SSU rRNA". It matches the Rfam family "Bacterial small subunit ribosomal RNA", at positions 30 to 429 of the family's 1533-position model. The record is from RNAcentral.